GGAGGCGUAGUCCUAAUUGGUAAGGCACCGCACUCGAAAUGCGGCGUGCGCGAGCACUUGGGGGUUCGAGUCCCUCCGCCUCCG
This 84-nucleotide transfer RNA is filed under the name Gemmatimonadota bacterium. RNAcentral describes it as "tRNA-Ser". It matches the Rfam family "tRNA". From Rfam's summary of the family: Transfer RNA (tRNA) molecules are approximately 80 nucleotides in length. Their secondary structure includes four short double-helical elements and three loops (D, anti-codon, and T loops). The record is from RNAcentral. Lineage: Bacteria; Pseudomonadati; Gemmatimonadota.